Eriocheir sinensis (Chinese mitten crab) is the source of this 565-nucleotide long non-coding RNA. RefSeq lists it as uncharacterized. NCBI's taxonomy places the organism in Eukaryota, Metazoa, Arthropoda, Malacostraca, Decapoda, Varunidae. The transcript is spliced from 3 exons. The record is from RefSeq and is a predicted model, not a curated record.
CAGCCUCAGUGUUACGGUGUCUGUCACGUUGUGGAGACGGAUACAAAAGAUAACCAAAGAAAGAAAGAAAGAAAAGAACAAGAAAGAACAGUACAAGAUCACUCAUAUUUUCCUUCGUGUGUUUUGAGAAAAAGGACAAAAAAAAGAAGGAAAAAUGUGAAAAUAAAAACCUUUUGCUUCGAACACGUUUCCGAGCGUUCGAGCGACAAAGCGAACCACCACCACCACCACCGCCGCCGCCACCACCACCAUCACCACCGCCGCCACCACCACCACCACCCCCUGAUCCUCUGACUUACGUAUUUCUCUCUCUCUCUCUCUCUCUCUCUCUCUCUCUCUCUCUCUCUCUCUCUGCCAGUCAUCAUGGGGGUGCUAACUCUCCUCCUCUUGGGGUGUGUGUGUGUGGGCUGGGGGGGCGCUCACCUGAUGGACAACCUGGUGGGGGGCGCGAGUCUCCCCACCUGCCCCGCCCUCCUGCACGCCGCCCACCGCCGCCACCUCCACACCGCGGCGCCCAUGCCCCCGCCCGUCCGCGGCAGGUGGCUCUCGUCCAGGUGAGUUGGCG